RNAcentral lists this ribosomal RNA (919 nucleotides) under uncultured archaeon. RNAcentral's name for it is "bacterial SSU rRNA". It matches the Rfam family "Archaeal small subunit ribosomal RNA", at positions 1 to 922 of the family's 1478-position model. The record is from RNAcentral.
UUCCGGUUGAUCCUGCCGGAGGUCAUUGCUAUUGGAGUCCGAUUUAGCCAUGCUAGUUGCACGAGUUCAGACUCGUAGCAGAUAGCUCAGUAACACGUGGCCAAACUACCCUGUCGAUCCAGAUAACCUCGGGAAACUGAGGCUAAUAUGGAAUACGGCUCACUACCUGGAGUGGUAUGAGCUCGAAAUGCUCCGGCGCGACAGGAUGUGGCUGCGGCCGAUUAGGUAGACGGUGGGGUAACGGCCCACCGUGCCCAUAAUCGGUACGGGUUGUGAGAGCAAGAGCCCGGAGACGGUAUCUGAGACAAGAUACCGGGCCCUACGGGGCGCAGCAGGCGCGAAACCUUUACACUGCACGCGAGUGCGAUAAGGGGACUCCGAGUGCGAGGGCAUAUAGUCCUCGCUUUUCACCACCGUAAGGAGGUGGUAGAAUAAGUGCUGGGCAAGACCGGUGCCAGCCGCCGCGGUAAUACCGGCAGCACGAGUGAUGACCGCUAUUAUUGGGCCUAAAGCGUCCGUAGCCUGCCGCGCAAGUCUGUCGGGAAAUCUCUCUGCUUAACAGAGAGGCGUCCGGCAGAAACUGUGUGGCUUGGGACCGGAAGAUCCAGAGGGUACGUCCGGGGUAGGAGUGAAAUCCCGUAAUCCUGGACGGACCACCGGUGGCGAAAGCGCUCUGGAAAGACGGAUCCGACGGUGAGGGACGAAAGCUCGGGUCACGAACCGGAUUAGAUACCCGGGUAGUCCGAGCUGUAAACGAUGCCCGCUAAGUUUGGUACAGGCCACGAGCCUGUACUGAGCUGUAGGGAAGCCGUGAAGCGGGCCGCCUGGGAAGUACGUCUGCAAGGAUGAAACUUAAAGGAAUUGGCGGGGGAGCACUACAACCGGAGGAGCCUGCGGUUUAAUUGGACUCAACGCCGGA